CAGACUAGCUAAUUAGCAAACACCCAUAAUACAAAACCAGCUCAAAGCCAAGUAGAUAAGAAAAACCCAGAUACAAAAAUUGGCAAGAAAUCACUCACCGGCGAAAAAAAACUCCAAUUAAUGCAAAUGGGAUUUGCUAUACCACUCAAAACAGUGAGUUCCCCAGUAAGAUUUCGGCUACAAUACUCAAAUCUUCACAUGUAUUACAACAAUAAGAGAAAUAGGGUCGAAACUCCAGAUCGGAAAAAAGGUGAAAAUGGGG
Molecule: unclassified non-coding RNA, 262 nt
Filed under: Hevea brasiliensis (rubber tree)
Lineage: Eukaryota; Viridiplantae; Streptophyta; Magnoliopsida; Malpighiales; Euphorbiaceae
Source: RNAcentral